CGUUUUGCACAGUGGCAGUAUCGCAGCCAAUGAAGUUUAUCAAAGGCACAAUUAUUGCUAAUUGAAAACUUUUCCAGAGCCCAAGGGCCAUAACUUCUAAAUGCAGUGCUUGUGUUUGACUAUAUAUUUCUUUUUUUAAAAG
Fukomys damarensis (Damara mole-rat) is the source of this 142-nucleotide small nuclear RNA. Its record names the gene U4. It matches the Rfam family "U4 spliceosomal RNA". Rfam says of the family: U4 small nuclear RNA (U4 snRNA) is a component of the major U2-dependent spliceosome. The structure of U4 snRNA from yeast and human has been reported. U4 snRNA presents a k-turn RNA motif in the 5p-SL related to recognition of Snu13 protein. NCBI's taxonomy places the organism in Eukaryota, Metazoa, Chordata, Mammalia, Rodentia, Bathyergidae. The record is from Ensembl.